This 434-nucleotide ribosomal RNA is filed under the name uncultured bacterium. Its description in RNAcentral is "bacterial SSU rRNA". It matches the Rfam family "Bacterial small subunit ribosomal RNA", at positions 954 to 1392 of the family's 1533-position model. The record is from RNAcentral.
GCAGAACGCGAAGAACCUUACCUACCCUUGACAUGUCUGGAAUCCCGAAGAGAUUUGGGAGUGCUCGCAAGAGAACCGGAACACAGGUGCUGCAUGGCUGUCGUCAGCUCGUGUCGUGAGAUGUUGGGUUAAGUCCCGCAACGAGCGCAACCCUUGUCAUUAGUUGCUACGAAAGGGCACUCUAAUGAGACUGCCGGUGACAAACCGGAGGAAGGUGGGGAUGACGUCAAGUCCUCAUGGCCCUUAUGGGUAGGGCUUCACACGUCAUACAAUGGUCGGGACAGAGGGUUGCCAACCCGCGAGGGGGAGCUAAUCUCAGAAACCCGAUCGUAGUCCGGAUUGCAGUCUGCAACUCGACUGCAUGAAGUCGGAAUCGCUAGUAAUCGCGGAUCAGAAUGUCGCGGUGAAUACGUUCCCGGGUCUUGUACACACCG